RNAcentral lists this ribosomal RNA (301 nucleotides) under uncultured bacterium. Its description in RNAcentral is "partial 16S ribosomal RNA". It matches the Rfam family "Bacterial small subunit ribosomal RNA", at positions 509 to 807 of the family's 1533-position model. The record is from RNAcentral.
CAGCCGCCGCGGUAAUACGAAGGGGGCUAGCGUUGUUCGGAAUCACUGGGCGUAAAGGGUGCGUAGGCGGGUUUCUAAGUCAGGGGUGAAAUCCUGGAGCUCAACUCCAGAACUGCCCUUGAUACUGGAAGUCUUGAGUAUGGGAGAGGUGAGUGGAACUGCGAGUGUAGAGGUGAAAUUCGUAGAUAUUCGCAAGAACACCAGUGGCGAAGGCGGCUCACUGGCCCAUAACCGACGCUGAGGCACGAAAGCGUGGGGAGCAAACAGGAUUAGAUACCCGAGUAGUCCCUGUCUCUUAUAC